UAAGGAAUAUUGGACAAUGGAGGCAACUCUGAUCCAGCCAUGCCGCGUGAAGGAAUAAGGCCCUAUGGGUUGUAAACUUCUUUUAGACGGGACAAAACCCCUUUACGUGUAAAGGGUUGAUGGUACUGUCAGAAUAAGCAUCGGCUAACUUCGUGCCAGCAGCCGCGGUAAUACGAAGGAUGCAAGCGUUAUCCGGAAUUAUUGGGUUCAAAGGGUGCGUAGGCGGACUAAUAAGUCAGUGGUGAAAGCCUGCAGCUUAACUGCAGAAUUGCCAUUGAUACUGUUAGUCUUGAGUACAGUUGAGGUAGGCGGAAUGUGUCAUGUAGCGGUGAAAUGCUUAGAUAUGACACAGAACACCGAUUGCGAAGGCAGCUUGCUAAGCUGUAACUGACGCUGAGGCACGAAAGCGUGGGGAGCAAACA
Molecule: ribosomal RNA, 422 nt
Filed under: uncultured bacterium
Lineage: Bacteria
Description: bacterial SSU rRNA
Rfam family: Bacterial small subunit ribosomal RNA
Source: RNAcentral